This 539-nucleotide long non-coding RNA is filed under the name Helianthus annuus (common sunflower). RNAcentral's name for it is "hypothetical non coding rna". Lineage: Eukaryota; Viridiplantae; Streptophyta; Magnoliopsida; Asterales; Asteraceae. The record is from RNAcentral.
UCCAAAGCAAUUACAUGAUUUCGGAGUGAACGAGCAGAACCCAAACGGCCGAUUUGGGAUAUUGCAAUUGAUCGCGUAACAACACGGCGACGGCGUGCAGUAUUUACCGCCACCGGCGCCGCCGUUGCCACCGCCGGAGUUGCAGCAGGUGCAGAGUGAACAAAUCUGGAAACCGUUGAGUUUCCGGCGAACGUCGUUGAACGGAGAAGUCAUGAGAUUCCGUCUUCCGGGCUCUAUUAACGGCACCAUUGUUUCUUCCGCCUGAAAAGUAGAAAUCAGAAGUUAAAAUUAGUGAGAAGAUCUGGAGGGAUGGAGGAGAGAGAGGGAAACUUACAUGGGGGAAUUGAAUUGGGGUUAAGAGGAUGAAGAAGAAGAUGGAGUGAAGGAUGGUAGGAGACAUGGUUGUGUGUAAUGAUGAUGGAUGUACGUCUAUUUUGAUAUUCACUAGGUUUGUUUCAGUCGUGCGUUGCGGCGAAACGAAACGAAGCAAAUCAUAAUGUAAAACAAACGUUAUUUGAAAAUGUAGCAUGUUGUUUAGA